GUGCCAGCAGCCGCGGUAAUACGUAGGGUGCAAGCGUUAUCCGGGAAUUAUUGGGCGUAAAGAGCUCGUAGGCGGUUUGUCGCGUCUGCUGUGAAAACUGGGGGCUCAACCCCCAGCCUGCAGUGGGUACGGGCAGACUAGAGUGCGGUAGGGGAGAUUGGAAUUCCUGGUGUAGCGGUGGAAUGCGCAGAUAUCAGGAGGAACACCAAUGGCGAAGGCAGAUCUCUGGGCCGUUACUGACGCUGAGGAGCGAAAGCAUGGGGAGCGAACAGGAUUAGAUACCCUGGUAGUCCAUGCCGUAAACGUUGGGAACUAGAUGUAGGGACCAUUCCACGGUUUCUGUGUCGCAGCUAACGCAUUAAGUUCCCCGCCUGGGGAGUACGGCCGCAAGGCUAAAACUCAAAGGAAUUGACGG
Molecule: ribosomal RNA, 415 nt
Filed under: Parafrigoribacterium sp.
Lineage: Bacteria; Bacillati; Actinomycetota; Actinomycetes; Micrococcales; Microbacteriaceae
Description: bacterial SSU rRNA
Rfam family: Bacterial small subunit ribosomal RNA
Source: RNAcentral